UCAAACUUGCAACGGCUAAAACAAUCCAAUGACCCCAAGCACCAUAGGGUCCAUUAAACUGCAUAUAUCCCAGUAACCAUAGCAGGCUCUAAAGCAUCGAAUCUAUCAGUCAACACCCAGAAAAUUUAAAAGGAAUGAUGAAUGAGUUAUAAAAGUAAAAUGCUUAUGGGGGAAACUACCUGUGUCUCGAAAGAAACACACUUGUCCUGAGAAUCUUAGGUCGCCCCUGUGGCUGAUCAACGGUUUUGAGCAUGUCCUCCCUAAGAACACCGGCUCCAACUUUGAAUCAAACAACGCCUUCCCCAUAAUCUAAAGAAUCACUAACAGUCUAGAAAAAAUCUACGCCCCCAACAAGUAUCCCACAUCAAGUCAGUACUGAAAGGAUCAAAGCUGCAACGUAGGAUGUAUCGCCCAUCGGAGCAAGCGAAGGUCUCCGAAACCAAUGACAGCAAUGCCAAUUACAAGCCAUCUAAAAUGAGUACAACCCAAUAAAAAUACUUCCCAUAUUUAUAUGAUUAAGCAAACAAAUCUUAUCCUAAACAGCAUGGCAAUAUCUAUCAAGUGGCUCUUGGGUGCUUCUUGUGGCUGAGCGGGCGGAGGCCUGUGUAUGACAAGGACUUCCAAGGCAAAAGGCAUUAGUAUAAGCAUUGAUCGAUGGAUUCUAAGUGGGAAUAUCUGCGAAGCUAUUCAUAAUAUAUUGAGUGAUAGCGAGAAAGGAAGCAUAUCCUGUGAUUUAUGAGAGGAGUCGCCUGUUUGUUUCAUGAGAAUGGGUGGCAUGAGAGCACGUGAUUCUUGGGGCCAAAUGGUCGGAGGAAACGGACGAUUGGCUGAGGAUUUU
This 838-nucleotide long non-coding RNA is filed under the name Phoenix dactylifera (date palm). RNAcentral describes it as "long non-coding RNA (PDAC_LNC007822)". Lineage: Eukaryota; Viridiplantae; Streptophyta; Magnoliopsida; Arecales; Arecaceae. The record is from RNAcentral.